Molecule: non-coding RNA, 74 nt
Organism: Comamonas testosteroni CNB-2
Lineage: Bacteria; Pseudomonadati; Pseudomonadota; Betaproteobacteria; Burkholderiales; Comamonadaceae
Source: Rfam
CGGAAUGUAGCGCAGCCUGGUAGCGCACUUGCAUGGGGUGCAAGGGGUCGCGAGUUCGAAUCCCGCCAUUCCGA